This 90-nucleotide transfer RNA is filed under the name Sphingomonas bacterium. Its description in RNAcentral is "tRNA-Ser". It matches the Rfam family "tRNA". Rfam says of the family: Transfer RNA (tRNA) molecules are approximately 80 nucleotides in length. Their secondary structure includes four short double-helical elements and three loops (D, anti-codon, and T loops). The record is from RNAcentral. Lineage: Bacteria; Pseudomonadati; Pseudomonadota; Alphaproteobacteria; Sphingomonadales; Sphingomonadaceae.
GGAGAGAUGGCCGAGUGGUUUAAGGCAGCGGUCUUGAAAACCGCCGUGGGUGAAAGUCCACCGUGGGUUCGAAUCCCACUCUCUCCGCCA